RNAcentral lists this long non-coding RNA (2014 nucleotides) under Homo sapiens (human). RNAcentral describes it as "HSALNT0014358". Lineage: Eukaryota; Metazoa; Chordata; Mammalia; Primates; Hominidae. The record is from RNAcentral.
GUUACCAAGUGUUUUGAGGGCUCACUUUGGAGCCUCUGAAAAGGAGGGGUCAGGGCCCAUGGAAGGUACCUGAGGGAUUCAGGAGAGAGAGGGGAAAGAGCAGACAGGAGGGAGGAGAGAAGGAGGGAGGGGGAGAAAGGGUGUGUGAGGGCCAGGAGCCAGGAUUCACCCUGACAGUUCAGUGACUGCUCCCUGACCCCAAGGUUCCCACUGUGGCACCUUCCAGCAGGUGGUUUCCAUCUCUUAUUGAUGUCCUGAGAACUUGGCUCUACAGAAUGGUCCCACCCUAUUUGUCUGGCAUGAGUCCUGCAAAGUUUCUUUUCAUCAUUUGGGGGAUGAGAUGGGGGUAUAUAGGUUUGCAAGUGACUAGGAGCUAAGUCAGGACCUUGUGGAGCCACUCAGAGUUAACUGUCAAGUAGCCUCCUUUCCCCCUUCCCUUGCAGGAUGAUUGCCUGCAAGACAGGGCCUGGAGGCCAGGGCACCCAAGGCCACAGAAAUGCCCAGGGAUGAGUCCUGGCUGGAGAUGCCUUGGCCGAGCUGACUGUGCACUUCCAGGGCUCACAGGGGUCUGGCCAGGAGACUGAGCAAGGGGACCAGGGAGGUUGUGUAGCAGGCUUCUGCACAGCAAGGCAGACAUUCUUCUUGGAGCCCCCAACCCAAAUCAGGUCUUCCACCUCCUCUUCCUAAAGACCCUUUACUGCUGUCGUUCCUUUACUGAACUACAAGUUUAGAGGACAUGGAUUUCAGUGCCCUCAUCUGGCCAACCAUCUUCAGCUGCCAAUGGACAAGUGUCUUCCUGGUACUGCACAUGAAGAUGUCCCGCUCUCCCCUGCUCAAGGAGAGAGUGCCUGACCUGAGCUGGGCCCAUCAGAUCCAGUACUUACCUGGAAUAGGAAAAAGAUGGGGAGAGUGACCAAAGACUACAAAAAUCUCUGAAGCUUAUCUACUUGAGAGAGAGUCCCUGAAGAUACUGGCCUCUCAUUCCUGCUAUGUAUAUCCAAUGUGACUGAACUCUGAAUAAAAUAUACAAGUUAUAACAAUGUAGCAAUUGACCCAGCAAACGAGGACACAAACGUGUUGAAGGGUGUCUACGGAGAAAUAGACAAGCGAUGCACGACAGAUACAUGUGUCAGUCUGGUCCCUGCAGUUGUAUUUGUAAUAAUACACAUUGGAGCAAUUUCAUGGCCAUCGGUUAGAGAAUGUUUGAGGAAUGAUCCUUUCAUAUCAAGAAGGACAUUUCAAAGAUCAAAACCUGAUGGAAAUGCUGGAGACCAUGGCGCUGAUAGGAGCUCAUGCGUGUUGUCCAAUUACUACGUGACAGGCAUUGGCUCCAUGCUUUUCCUGCACUGCUCAUUUAAACACUGGACAACCUAAGUGUUCUGAUUUAGCCCAUUGGACAGAUAGAAAUGGAGGCACAGAAGAUUAAUGUGUUUAACUUCAAACCCUGGCAGAUUAGGUUUUUCAUCCAGAGCCUGUGGCUUCACCAUAGCUGUGAUUCACGUUCUGUCAUUCUCCUCUUUAGGAAUUUCCAGUAUUCCAAAUAUGAGAAGCUGAGAAAACAAACAACAAACUCAAAACCCUAAAAACCAGGAUACGUAAGGGUAGAUGUUUGUUGGGUGUGGAUUAAAAAUGGACUUUUUUUGCCCCAAGCAACAAAGAGGCACCUUAGAAAAUAGACAAGAGACAAGAAGAAGAGAAGCUUUAAGAGAUAUUUGGUCCAAGGAAGAGACUCUUCAGAUGGAAGGUCACGUCAGCUAGAAACAUUAAUAUGACUGGAUGGGCUCAAACCACUGACUUUUCAGUCAACAUCCGACAGCACUAACCUAGUGUUCCAGAGACACUGCUUGUUAAACAGUGAAAGCUGUUGCUCAAUUGUGUCAUCCGUAAUUGUCAAAUAUUGCCAUUUAGUAGCACAAGGAAGUAUUCUCCGUUGCCAAGCUAGAGCACCCAUAACUCUUCUGUUUUGUUGAACAUUCUUCCCCACCACAAACCCUCUUUAGAAGACUGGGGGCUC